This 261-nucleotide ribosomal RNA is filed under the name uncultured prokaryote. RNAcentral's name for it is "partial 16S ribosomal RNA". It matches the Rfam family "Bacterial small subunit ribosomal RNA", at positions 524 to 784 of the family's 1533-position model. The record is from RNAcentral.
UACGGAGGAUGCGAGCGUUAUCCGGAUUUAUUGGGUUUAAAGGGUGCGUAGGCGGCUUUUUAAGUCAGCGGUGAAAUUUUGUAGCUUAACUGUAACAGUGCCGUUGAUACUGGGGAGCUAGGAUUUGGUUGCUGUGGGUGGAAUGUGUGGUGUAGCGGUGAAGUGCUUAGGGAUCACACAGAAUAUCGAUUGCGAAGGCAGCUCACAAAGCCAAGAUUGACGCUGAGGCACGAAAGUGUGGGGAUCAAACAGGAUUAGAUA